This 464-nucleotide ribosomal RNA is filed under the name uncultured Rhodocyclaceae bacterium. RNAcentral's name for it is "partial 16S ribosomal RNA". It matches the Rfam family "Bacterial small subunit ribosomal RNA", at positions 338 to 794 of the family's 1533-position model. The record is from RNAcentral. Lineage: Bacteria; Pseudomonadati; Pseudomonadota; Betaproteobacteria; Rhodocyclales; Rhodocyclaceae.
CCUACGGGAGGCAGCAGUGGGGAAUUUUGGACAAUGGGGGAAACCCUGAUCCAGCCAUUCCGCGUGAGUGAAGAAGGCCUUCGGGUUGUAAAGCUCUUUCGGCAGGAACGAAACGGCGGACUCUAACAUAGUCUGUCAAUGACGGUACCUGAAGAAGAAGCACCGGCUAACUACGUGCCAGCAGCCGCGGUAAUACGUAGGGUGCGAGCGUUAAUCGGAAUUACUGGGCGUAAAGCGUGCGCAGGCGGCUUUGUAAGACGGAUGUAAAAUCCCUGGGCUAAACCUAGGAACGGCGUGCGUGACUGCAAAGCAAGAGUGCGGCAGAGGGGGGUGAAAUUCCUGGUGUAGCAGUGAAAUGCGUAGAGAUCAGGAGGAACACCGAGGGCGAAGGCGGCCCCCGGGGUUGGCACUGACGCUGAAGCGCGAAAGCGUGGGGAGCGAACGGGAUUAGAUACCCUGGUAGU